GACACUUUGGCCGAGUGGUUAAGGCGAUUGACUAGAAUCAUCUCUUCUCAACGAGUGAUUACGUAAUCAAUUUCUUUCGGGAGCGCAGGUUCAAAUCCUGCAGGUGUCG
This 109-nucleotide transfer RNA is filed under the name Imshaugia aleurites. It matches the Rfam family "tRNA". From Rfam's summary of the family: Transfer RNA (tRNA) molecules are approximately 80 nucleotides in length. The record is from Rfam by way of RNAcentral. Lineage: Eukaryota; Fungi; Ascomycota; Lecanoromycetes; Lecanorales; Parmeliaceae.